Long non-coding RNA from Sorghum bicolor (sorghum), 792 nucleotides. RefSeq lists it as uncharacterized. The record is from RefSeq and is a predicted model, not a curated record. NCBI's taxonomy places the organism in Eukaryota, Viridiplantae, Streptophyta, Magnoliopsida, Poales, Poaceae. The transcript has 2 exons.
UCAUUUUGUUGCUCCCCACCGCCUUCCUAUCCACUCAUUUUUUUCAUCUCCACUCUUCUCUCACAUCUCGCUGCCACUUCCACCGCUCGCACCAUGCGGCCGCACUUUCUGCCAUGCGCGAGCCGCUCCUCCUUCCUUUUCUCCCUCCCUCCCCGCUGCGACCCACACGCCCUCCAUGCCGCCGGAGUAGAGCACGACGGUGGCAGCUUUCAGCGAGCGGCGCAACUCCCUUCCUCCCUGCUCUUUCUCCCUCGCUCUCGUGACCUCCAUGCAUCUGGAGAUGGAGACAACGACGCAGCUCCGACGAGUAUGUUUUUCAGGUGAUGUCGCAGUAGGAUAGGGUUCCGGCGAGCUCUCGGGUUCAGAUCUCGUCAUUGUUGCAAUGGUUCUAUCUAGACGUUGUAGUAAGUUUUAGUCGUUGUUGCAGUUUUGUGUUUUGAGAUGUUGUUUCAGUUGCUUCAGUCUGCAUGUUGUAGUAGUUUGUUUUAUGUUGUUACAACAUUUGUUCGGUGUUGUUGUAGUACUAUGUCCAUGGUGUUUUAGUUGCUCCAUCCAAUGCUUUAAUCUGCACUGUCGUAUUAGUUGUUGCAUGUUGUUGCAACAGUUGGUCGAUGUUGUUGUAAUACUAUGUCUAUGGUGUUUCGGUUGCUCCAUCUAAUGGUUCAACCUAUGCUGUUGUAUUAGUUGUUACAUGUUGUUGCAACAGUCGUUCUUUGUUGUUGUAAUACUAUAUUUAUGGUGUUUCAGUUGCUCCAUCUAAUGCUUCAACCUAUGUUGUUGUAUUAGUUGUUA